RNAcentral lists this ribosomal RNA (627 nucleotides) under Triticum aestivum (bread wheat). Its description in RNAcentral is "partial small subunit ribosomal RNA". Lineage: Eukaryota; Viridiplantae; Streptophyta; Magnoliopsida; Poales; Poaceae. The record is from RNAcentral.
AUGCAACCACAAGAUCGUGCCCACAUCCUCACCGGAGCCUGCAUUGCUCUCACGCUCCUACUAAGCACUGUAAACACGGCGUCCAGCCGCCGUCCGGCAGGCCACAGCCCCCCGCCCCCUCCCCACGGCUCCGGCCAGACCAUAACGCUCUACACCAAUGGAGCUGCACCACCAAACGCCGGCGGCACCCCUUCCUCGAAACACCCGGCCUUCACCAGCCAAGGCCCGAUCGGCCACCCCGGCAGCUGGCUACGCACCUUGACGCGGCCUGGGGCGCUCCGCCCCGGCACGGUGACCGUCGUCGACGAGCAGUUCCAUGGAAAGAGAGAGUUUGGGCUGCCCUUGGCUGGGAAGCUGCAGGGCGUUCUUGUCACCAGCUUGGAUGAUAACAGCAACCAUAUAGUUGCAGUGAAGGCCCUGUUCACCGGCGAUGGCGCGGAAGACAGCAUCAGGUUCUUCGGAAUCCAUCACAACGGUCAGGAGGAGUCCCAUGUCGCGGUGGUCGGAGGGACGGGGAGGUAUGACAGCGCCACCGGUUUCGCUGUUAUUAGAGCAGCAGAUGUACCUGAAACAAGGGGAAAUGACAGCUUCAGCAGGAAUCUCAGUUUCAGUGUGCUCCUCAAGUGA